Molecule: ribosomal RNA, 400 nt
Filed under: Prodegeeria japonica
Lineage: Eukaryota; Metazoa; Arthropoda; Insecta; Diptera; Tachinidae
Description: partial 16S rRNA
Source: RNAcentral
GGCCGCAGUAUUUUAACUGUGCAAAGGUAGCAUAAUCAUUAGUUUUUUAAUUGAAAGCUGGUAUGAAUGGUUGGACGAAAUAUUAACUGUUUCAUAAAAAUUUUUUAUAGAAUUUUAUUUUUUAGUUAAAAAGCUAAAAUUUAUUUAAAAGACGAGAAGACCCUAUAAAUCUUUAUACUUAAAUUAUUUUAUUAUUUUUAGAUUUAUUUUUUUAUAAUAAUUAAUAGUAUUUUAUUGGGGUGAUAUUAAAAUUUAAUAAACUUUUAUUUAUUUUAACAUUAAUUUAUGAAUAUUUGAUCCGUUAUUAACGAUUAAAAAAUUAAGUUACUUUAGGGAUAACAGCGUAAUUUUUUUAGAGAGUUCUUAUCGAUAAAAAAGAUUGCGACCUCGAUGUUGGAUU